This 76-nucleotide transfer RNA is filed under the name Pseudomonas amygdali pv. mori str. 301020. RNAcentral describes it as "tRNA-His". The stretch from base 6 to 67 matches the Rfam family "tRNA", at positions 6 to 65 of the family's 71-position model. Rfam says of the family: Transfer RNA (tRNA) molecules are approximately 80 nucleotides in length. Their secondary structure includes four short double-helical elements and three loops (D, anti-codon, and T loops). Further hydrogen bonds mediate the characteristic L-shaped molecular structure. tRNAs have two regions of fundamental functional importance: the anti-codon, which is responsible for specific mRNA codon recognition, and the 3' end, to which the tRNAs corresponding amino acid is attached (by aminoacyl-tRNA synthetases). tRNAs cope with the degeneracy of the genetic code in two manners: having more than one tRNA (with a specific anti-codon) for a particular amino acid; and 'wobble' base-pairing, i.e. permitting non-standard base-pairing at the 3rd anti-codon position. Lineage: Bacteria; Pseudomonadati; Pseudomonadota; Gammaproteobacteria; Pseudomonadales; Pseudomonadaceae. The record is from RNAcentral.
GCUCUUGUAGCUCAGUUGGUAGAGCACAGGAUUGUGACUCCUGCGGUCGUGGGUUCGAACCCCAUCGUCCACCCCA